Molecule: long non-coding RNA, 1168 nt
Organism: Peromyscus californicus insignis
Lineage: Eukaryota; Metazoa; Chordata; Mammalia; Rodentia; Cricetidae
Exons: 4
Source: RefSeq, a predicted model, not a curated record
UGUGGCCUCUGGGCUAUCCGACUCCCUCUCUGAGCUUGUGUGACCCUGGGCCAAUGGCCCAACUCCUGGAUGACUCCCGCUGAGGUCCCUGAGGGGGUCCAGGGUCAUCAGACAAGAGUGGGCUUCGGGAGAUGUCGGUCCUCAGCUCGGUUUGCAGCUCCAGCUUGGCUCCAGGUUAGGUCCAAGGGUGACUAGAAAAAUCUAGGUGUAAAUAUAUUUUUUUAAAUUUUGUUUUGUUCAUUUACUUAUUUUGUUUUUUUGAGACAGGGUUUCUCUAUGUAGCCCUGGCUGUCCUGGAACUCGCGAUAUAGAGCAAGCUGGUCUUGAACUCAUAGAGAUCCACCUGCUUCUCUGCUUCCCGAGUGCAAGGAUUAAAGAUGUGAGCCACCAUACCUGGCUUAGGUUUGCGAGGCUCAACAGAACUGGGUUCAAGCUCUCCUGCUUCGCUGUUUUCUGGCUGCGUGGCCCUGACUGAGUUGCCUCAGUUUCCCCAUCUGGAACAGGAGCAACUCAGACCUACUAGACUGGCAAUGUGAAGGUUACGGGGUGCCAGCGCACGGCACACCGGGGACACAGGCCUGCGAUACUGCACGCCGUCUCGGAAGAAAGGGAUGCCGGGCACGGCUGGGGGAGCAAAUUUGAGCCUCGUGGAGAGCUGCGUGUAUAAAGCGAGAUGCCCACUGACGUUUGCAACCGUCCAGCCGCUGUGAGAAAACACCUGACGGAGGCAUCCACGGGGCAAGAGUCUAUUCUGGCUGCUGGACUGAGGGCGCUGUCGUCCAUCAGGGAAGCAGGGUGACAGAAUCCAUAGCUGGGGAGCAGAGGCCAAUGCAAGUGCUCAGUGCCUCUAGCCCGUGGGAUGGUACCAACCACAUUCAGGCUGGCCCCACAUCUGACGCUAAUAUGGAUGUGAAAUGUCUCCCAUUCGCUCACCUGUUUGAACACGUGGCCCCCAGCUGGCCCGGACCUACAGGGGAGGCACAGCUUCUGGAGGACAUGGGUCACUGAGGGUCUUGAAGCCUUACUUCCUGUCUGGUCUCCUUGCUUCCUGGCUCUGGAUGCGAUGUCACCUGUGGCUCCUGCUCCUGCUUUUCCCACUUGCCUUUCCCACAACCAUGGUCAAUAUCCCUCUAACCUAUAAGGCAAAAUAAACCCUCCUCCAAGGCGG